CUCAAAUUUGAAAUCUGGUCCCCUUUGGGGGCCCGAGUUGUAAUUUGAAGAGGAUGCUUUUGGCGAGGCGCCGUCCGAGUUCCCUGGAACGGGACGCCGCAGAGGGUGAGAGCCCCGUACGGUCGGACGCCGAGCCUCUGUAAAGCUCCUUCGACGAGUCGAGUAGUUUGGGAAUGCUGCUCAAAAUGGGAGGUAAACCCCUUCUAAAGCUAAAUACCGGCCAGAGACCGAUAGCGCACAAGUAGAGUGAUCGAAAGAUGAAAAGCACUUUGAAAAGAGAGUUAAAAAGCACGUGAAAUUGUUAAAAGGGAAGCGCUUGCGACCAGACUUGCGCCCGUCGGAUCAACCGUCGCUUGCGGCGGCGCACUCCGGCGGGCUCAGGCCAGCAUCAGUUCGCUCGGGGGGAGAAAGGCGGCGGGAAUGUAGCUCCUAGGAGUGUUAUAGCCCGCCGUGUAAUACCCUCGGGUGGACUGAGGACCGCGCGUAUGCAAGGAUGCUGGCGUAAUGGUCGUCAGCGACCCGUCUUGAAACACGGACCAAGGAGUCGUCCUAAUAUGCGAGUGUACGGGUGUCAAACCCCUGCGCGUAAUGAAAGUGAACGGAGGUGAGAGCUUCGGCGCAUCAUCGACCGAUCCUGAUGUUAUCGGAUGGAUUUGAGUAAGAGCAUAUUGGGCCGGACCCGAAAGAAGGUGAACUAUGCCUGUGUAGGGUAAAGCCAGAGGAAACUCUGGUGGAGGCUCGCAGCGGUUCUGACGUGCAAAUCGAUCGUCAAACAUGGGCAUGGGGGCGAAAGACUAAUCGAACCUUCUAGUAGCUGGUUUCCGCCGAAGUUUCCCUCAGGAUAGCAGUGUUGAAUUUCUCAGUUUUAUGAGGUAAAGCGAAUGAUUAGGGACUCGGGGGCGCUUUUUAGCCUUCAUCCAUUCUCAAACUUUAAAUAUGUAAGAAGCCCUUGUUACUUC
RNAcentral lists this ribosomal RNA (959 nucleotides) under Scopulariopsis candida. RNAcentral describes it as "eukaryotic LSU rRNA". It matches the Rfam family "Eukaryotic large subunit ribosomal RNA", at positions 108 to 1093 of the family's 3401-position model. Lineage: Eukaryota; Fungi; Ascomycota; Sordariomycetes; Microascales; Microascaceae. The record is from RNAcentral.